This is a long non-coding RNA of Ochlerotatus camptorhynchus, 953 nucleotides long. RefSeq lists it as uncharacterized. The record is from RefSeq and is a predicted model, not a curated record. The transcript is spliced from 2 exons. NCBI's taxonomy places the organism in Eukaryota, Metazoa, Arthropoda, Insecta, Diptera, Culicidae.
AGCUUGCUUCAUUUAGAAUUGGAACAAACUUUUGCUCAUAUUGUGGUGCUCCUGGUGGACGGAUUUGGAAGUUCUUGGCGCCCACGUGUCGGGAAUUUUGUCAGCUUCACGUAUGUAUUUUUGACAUUCCGCAAAUCGACUGUACUUUGUAAACAAUCAACAUGGAAGCCGAAAGAAGGGAAAAAAUUGUGCACAGUUAUUUGGAAAAUCCAUUGUGGUCUGCAUCUAGGCUAGCUAAACAGCUGUAAUUGCCCAGAAAUACCGUAUGGCGCGUUAUCAAACGGUAUAAGGAAACAUUGACGACGAUUCGGAAGCCUCAAGCCAAUCGUCGGAGUGGAACUGUCGACCGGAAACUGCGUGGUAAGAUUUUGAAGACGAUUAAGAAGAAUCCCAAUCUGUCGGACCGUGAUUUGGCCAGAAAUUUCGCAAACAGCCAAAUCGGACCAUAAAAUAGAAUAGUGUGGCCAAAAUCCGUGCGCGGAAGCUAUACGACCAGGUGCUGACCAAGUUCGACGGGUGUCUUCUGAUGGGCGAUGAAACCUAUGUCAAGGCUGACCUCGGGCAAAUCCCAGGUCAAAAAUUUUACUUGGCAACGGCUCGGGGGGAUGUUCCAGCCAAAUUUAAAUUUGUUUUUGUCGACAAAUUUGCACGAAAAUUUAUGAUUUGGCAGGGCAUUUGCAGCUGUGGCAAAAAAACGAAAGUUUUCGUUACAAAUAAGACAAUGACGUCGGAACUAUACCAAAAAGAGUGUCUCCAAAAACGAAUUUUGCCGUUCAUUCGAUCCCACGACCAUCCCGUAAUGUUUUGGCCAGAUUUGGCAAGCUGUCAUUACAGCAAAGUCGUUCAAGAAUGGUAUGCAGAGAAAGGGGUCCAGUUUGUUCCGAAAAACCUUAACCCACCCAACUGCCCCCAGUUCCGCCCUAUUGAGAAAUACUGGGCAAUCAUGAAGAGGA